Long non-coding RNA from Mya arenaria, 1547 nucleotides. RefSeq lists it as uncharacterized. Lineage: Eukaryota; Metazoa; Mollusca; Bivalvia; Myida; Myidae. The transcript has 5 exons. The record is from RefSeq and is a predicted model, not a curated record.
CUUUACUGCGCAUGUGCAAACGGUGUCUUUGGAUGUCCCGGCCAUUUUGUGUAAAUGUUUGAAAAAAAAAACGAAUACGUUUUUGGCGUUGGAAAGUAAACAUGCUGACAAAACAUCAAGAUGUGUGGACACAUGGGGAGAAAAGACUCGUGAGAUCGGUUGCAGCAGAUAGCCUGAGACUUGCUGGUCGCAAACAUUUACCUCCUUACUUGCAUGUAAAAGAAAAAUGUAUCCUGAAAGCGGAAGUCAAUACUGACCCGGAGGGCCGCGAUGCUUAUCUUGCGCGAUCGAGGGUAACCUGAAUAUCAUUAUAGCCACACGAACAGAGCGACAAGGGGCUGGAUUGGAUUGAUAAAAGAUCCUCAAUUCCUGGAGCCAGAACAGUCUUGCCGGAUGUCUGAAUAUCACCAUAGAAACAAGAAAAGGGCAACAAGUGGCUGGAUUGGAGAGAGAUCUGAAGAAUAACCCUAGAUGAAACUGUGCUGCAGAAUAACCCUAGAUGAAACUGUGCUGCAGAAUAACCCUAGAUGAAACAGUACUGCAGAAUAACCCUAGAUGAAACUGUGCUGCAGAAUAACCCUAGAUGAAACAGUACUGCAGAAUAACCCUAGAUGAAACUGCGCUGCAGAAUAACCCUAGAUGAAACUGUACUGCAGAAUAACCCUAGAUGAAACUGCGCUGCAGAAUAACCCUAGAUGAAACUGCGCUGCAGAAUAACCCUAGAUGAAACUGCGCUGCAGAAUAACCCUAGAUGAAACUGUGCUGCAGAAUAACCCUAGAUGAAACUGUACUGCAGAAUAACCCUUGAUGAAACAGCGCUGCAGAAUAACGAUAGAUGAAACUGCGCUGGAGAUUUAGGCUUGAUGAAUCUGCAUUCUUUGUAUGCUGAAAGAAUGUUAAAAGCGUGGUUUUACUGUGUGUUAUAAUUCAUGACAUUAAGUGUCUAUUUGUAAUUAAAGAAAUCAGAGAUUAUCCAAUGAAAUCCAUGUUUUUAGCUCACCUGUCACGUAGUGACAAGGUGAGCUUUUGUGAUCACUCGUCGUCCGUCCGUCCGUCCGUCCGUCCGUUCACAAUUGCUUGUGAACACAAUAGAGGUCACAAUUUUGACCUAAUCUUUAUGAAACUUGGUCAGACUGAUCAUCUCUAUAAAAUCUAGGUCAAGUUCGAUAUUGGGUCAUCUGGGGUCAAAAACUAGGUCACUAGGUCAAUUAGUAGAAAAACCUUGUGAACACAAUAGAGGUCACAAUUUUAGCCUAAUCUCAAUGCAAUUUGGUCAGAAUGGUCAUCUCUAUAAAAUCUAGGUCAAGUUCGAUAUUGGGUCAUCCGCGGUCAAUAAUUAGGUCACUAGGUCAAUUAGUAGAAAAACCUUGUGAACACAAUAGAGGUCACAAUUUUAGCCUAAUCUCAAUGCAACUUGGUCAGAAUGAUCAUCUCUAUAAAAUGUAGGUCAAGUUCGAUAUUGGGUCAUCCGCGGUCAACAACUAGGUCACUAGGUCAAUUAGUACAAAAACCUUGUGAACACAAUAGAGGUCACAAUUUUAGCCUAA